AAUAUUUAAAGAGCCGCAGUAUUAUAACUGUGCGAAGGUAGCGUAAUCAUUAGGUUUUUAAUUGGAAUCUCGUAUGAAUGGUUGAACAAAUGAAAUACUGUCUUUAUAUUAAAUUUGAAUUUAACUUUUAAGUGAAAAGGCUUAAAUAUUCUAAAAAGACGAUAAGACCCUGUAAAACGUUAUGUUGGGGAGACAAGAGUAUAAAUGGUAACUGCUUUAAAUAAAAACAAAUAUUUAUGAAUUGAUCCUUUAAUAUAAAGAUUAAAGAUUAAGUUACUUUAGGGAUAACAGCGUCAUUUUUUUUAAGAGUUCUUAUCGAAAAAAAAGUUUACGACCUCGAUGUUGAAUUAAAAUUUCUAUAUGAUGCAGCAGUUAUAUGAGAAGGUCUGUUCGACCUUUAAAUUUUU
Molecule: ribosomal RNA, 407 nt
Filed under: Isolapotamon griswoldi
Lineage: Eukaryota; Metazoa; Arthropoda; Malacostraca; Decapoda; Potamidae
Description: partial 16S large subunit ribosomal RNA
Rfam family: Bacterial large subunit ribosomal RNA
Source: RNAcentral